GAUGAAGAACGCAGCGAAAUGCGAUAAGUAGUGUGAAUUGCAGAAUUCAGUGAAUCAUCGAAUCUUUGAACGCACAUUGCGCCCCUUGGUAUUCCAUGGGGCAUGCCUGUUCGAGCGUCAUUUGUACCUUCAAGCUUUGCUCGGUGUUGGGUGUUUGUCCCGAGGGACUCGCCUUAAAGUAAUUGGCAGCCAGUGUUUGGUUUUGAAGCGCAGCACAAGUCGCGAUUCAAGGCUACACGCCCGCUUCCACAAGCCUUUUUUCACUUUUGACCUCGGAUCAGGUAGGGAUACCCGCUGAACUUAAGCAUAUCAAUAAGCGGAGGA
Molecule: unclassified non-coding RNA, 324 nt
Filed under: soil metagenome
Description: partial contains 5.8S ribosomal RNA, internal transcribed spacer 2, and large subunit ribosomal RNA
Rfam family: 5.8S ribosomal RNA (bases 1-120)
Source: RNAcentral